CAGUCGCCGCGGUAACACGUAGGGUGCGAGCGUUAAUCGGAAUUACUGGGCGUAAAGCGGGCGCAGACGGUUACUUAAGCAGGAUGUGAAAUCCCCGGGCUCAACCUGGGAACUGCGUUCUGAACUGGGUAACUAGAGUGUGUCAGAGGGAGGUAGAAUUCCACGUGUAGCAGUGAAAUGCGUAGAGAUGUGGAGGAAUACCGAUGGCGAAGGCAGCCUCCUGGGAUAACACUGACGUUCAUGCCCGAAAGCGUGGGGAGCAAACAGGAUUAGAUACCCCUGUAGUCCCUGUCUCUUAUAC
Molecule: ribosomal RNA, 301 nt
Filed under: uncultured bacterium
Lineage: Bacteria
Description: partial 16S ribosomal RNA
Rfam family: Bacterial small subunit ribosomal RNA
Source: RNAcentral